This 378-nucleotide long non-coding RNA is filed under the name Marmota monax (woodchuck). Lineage: Eukaryota; Metazoa; Chordata; Mammalia; Rodentia; Sciuridae. The record is from RNAcentral.
AUUCCAUUCUUGUUUCUAGACAAAACUCACCCUCUCUGUCUCUCUCCCACUUACAGGGUCCUGGGCCCAGUCUGUGCUGACACAGCAGCCCUCACUGUCUGGGACUCCAGGACAGACAAUCACCAUCUCCUGCACUGGAAGCAGCAACAAUAUUGGUGGCUAUUAUGUGAACUGGUACCAACAACUCCCAGAAACAGCACCUAAGCUCACCAUCUAUGAAUAUAGCAAACGAAACUCAGAGGUCUCUGAUCGCUUCUCUGGCUCCAAUUCUGGCAACUCUGCUUCACUGACCAUCACUGGGCUCCAUCCUGAGGAUGAGGCUGACUAUUACUGUCAGUCUUAUGACAGUAGCCUCAGUUCUCACACAGUGCUCCAGGC